GAUGAACGCUGGCGGCGUGCUUAACACAUGCAAGUCGAACGGAAAGGCCCAAGCUUGCUUGGGUACUCGAGUGGCGAACGGGUGAGUAACACGUGGGUGAUCUGCCCUGCACUUCGGGAUAAGCCUGGGAAACUGGGUCUAAUACCGGAUAGGACCACUUCUUGGAUGUUGUGGUGGAAAGUUUUUCGGUGUGGGAUGAGCUCGCGGCCUAUCAGCUUGUUGGUGGGGUAAUGGCCUACCAAGGCGUCGACGGGUAGCCGGCCUGAGAGGGUGUACGGCCACAUUGGGACUGAGAGACGGCCCAGAGUCCUACGGGAGGCAGCAGUGGGGAAUAUUGCACAAUGGGCGCAAGCCUGAUGCAGCGACGCCGCGUGGGGGAUGACGGCCUUCGGGUUGUAAACUCCUUUCGCUAGGGACGAAGCGUAUUUUGUGACGGUACCUGGAGAAGAAGCACCGGCUAACUACGUG
This 468-nucleotide ribosomal RNA is filed under the name uncultured bacterium. RNAcentral describes it as "partial 16S ribosomal RNA". It matches the Rfam family "Bacterial small subunit ribosomal RNA", at positions 28 to 507 of the family's 1533-position model. The record is from RNAcentral.